RNAcentral lists this transfer RNA (62 nucleotides) under Miltogramma oestracea. RNAcentral describes it as "tRNA-Leu". Lineage: Eukaryota; Metazoa; Arthropoda; Insecta; Diptera; Sarcophagidae. The record is from RNAcentral.
CUAUUUUGGCAGAUUAGUGUGAUAAAUUUAGAAUUUAUUUAUGUGAUAUUUCACAAAUAGUA